RNAcentral lists this ribosomal RNA (460 nucleotides) under uncultured bacterium. Its description in RNAcentral is "partial 16S ribosomal RNA". It matches the Rfam family "Bacterial small subunit ribosomal RNA", at positions 338 to 795 of the family's 1533-position model. The record is from RNAcentral.
CCUACGGGAGGCAGCAGUGAGGAAUAUUGGUCAAUGGCCGGAAGGCUGAACCAGCCAUGCCGCGUGAAGGUCAGUGCCCUAUGGGCGUUAAACUUCUUUUGUGCGGGAGCAAUAAUGGUCACGUGUGGCCAGACGAGAGUACCGUACGAAUAAGCAUCGGCUAACUCCGUGCCAGCAGCAGCGGUAAUACGGGGGAUGCAAGCGUUAUCUGGAUUUAUUGGGUUUAAAGGGUGCGUAGGCUGUGAGGUAAGUCAGCGGUGAAAUGCCCCCGCUCAACGGGGUGAAGUGCCAUUGAUACUGGCUUGCUGGAAUGUGGAUGCGGUGGGAGGAAUGUGUGGUGUAGCGGUGAAAUGCAUAGAUAUCACACAGAACACCGAUUGCGAAGGCAUCUCACGAAUCCGCGAUUGACGCUGAUGUACGAAAGCGUGGGUAGCAAACAGGAUUAGAUACCCGGGUAGUC